This 745-nucleotide ribosomal RNA is filed under the name Candidatus Synechococcus spongiarum. RNAcentral describes it as "bacterial SSU rRNA". It matches the Rfam family "Bacterial small subunit ribosomal RNA", at positions 796 to 1533 of the family's 1533-position model. The record is from RNAcentral. Lineage: Bacteria; Bacillati; Cyanobacteriota; Cyanophyceae; Synechococcales; Synechococcaceae.
CUGGCCGUAAACGAUGAACACUAGAUGUUGGGGGAAUCGACCCCCUCGGUGUCGUAGCUAACGCGUUAAGUGUUCCGCCUGGGGAGUACGCACGCAAGUGUGAAACUCAAAGGAAUUGACGGGGGCCCGCACAAGCGGUGGAGUAUGUGGUUUAAUUCGAUGCAACGCGAAGAACCUUAGCAAGGCUUGACAUCCUGCGAAUCUCCAAGAAAUUGGAGAGUGCCUUCGGGAACGCAGUGACAGGUGGUGCAUGGCUGUCGUCAGCUCGUGUCGUGAGAUGUUGGGUUAAGUCCCGCAACGAGCGCAACCCACGUUUUUAGUUGCCAGCAUUCAGUUGGGCACUCUAGAGAGACUGCCGGUGACAAACCGGAGGAAGGUGUGGACGACGUCAAGUCAUCAUGCCCCUUACGCCUUGGGCUACACACGUACUACAAUGCUGCAGACAAAGAGUAGCGAUCUUGCAAAAGUUAGCUAAUCUCGUAAACUGUGGCUCAGUUCAGAUCGUAGGCUGCAACUCGCCUACGUGAAGGAGGAAUCGCUAGUAAUCGCAGGUCAGCAUACUGCGGUGAAUACGUUCCCGGGCCUUGUACACACCGCCCGUCACACCAUGGAAGUUGGCCAUGCCCGAAGUCGUUACUCUAACCUUCCUUUGGGGAGGGAGAGGGCGCCGAAGGCAGGGCUGAUGACUGGGGUGAAGUCGUAACAAGGUAGCCGUAGCGGAAGCUGCGGCUGGAUCACCUCCUAA